Molecule: ribosomal RNA, 799 nt
Filed under: uncultured Glomus
Lineage: Eukaryota; Fungi; Glomeromycota; Glomeromycetes; Glomerales; Glomeraceae
Description: SSU rRNA
Rfam family: Eukaryotic small subunit ribosomal RNA
Source: RNAcentral
AUCAACUUUCGAUGGUAGGAUAGAGGCCUACCAUGGUGGUAACGGGUAACGGGGUGUUAGGGCACGACACCGGAGAGGGAGCCUGAGAAACGGCUACCACAUCCAAGGAUGGCAGCAGGCGCGCAAAUUACCCAAUCCCGACACGGGGAGGUAGUGACAAUAAAUAACAAUACGGGGUUCUUUCGGAUCUCGUAAUUGGAAUGAGUACAAUUUAAAUCUCUUAACGAGGAACAAUUGGAGGGCAAGUCUGGUGCCAGCAGCCGCGGUAAUUCCAGCUCCAAUAGCGUAUAUUAAAGUUGUUGCAGUUAAAAAGCUCGUAGUUGAAUUUCGGGGUUAGUAGGUUGGUCAUGCCUCUGGUAUGUACUGGUCUCACUGAUUCCUCCUUCCUGAUGAACCGUAAUGCCAUUAAUUUGGUGUUGCGGGGAAUUUGGACUGUUACUUUGAAAAAAUUAGAGUGUUUAAAGCAAGCUAACGCUUGAAUACAUUAGCAUGGAAUAAUGAAAUAGGACGUUCGAUCCUAUUUUGCUGGUUUCUAGGAUUGACGUAAUGAUUAAUAGGGAUAGUUGGGGGCAUUAGUAUUCAAUUGUCAGAGGUGAAAUUCUUGGAUUUAUUGAAGACUAACUACUGCGAAAGCAUUUGCCAAGGAUGUUUUCAUUAAUCAAGAACGAAAGUUAGGGGAUCGAAGACGAUCAGAUACCGUCGUAGUCUUAACCAUAAACUAUGCCGACUAGGGAUCGGAUGAUGUUAAUUUUUUAAUGACUCAUUCGGCGCCUUACGGGAAACCAAAGUGUUUGGGUUC